CUGUCUUCUGCCCGCCUCCCUCCAGCUGCCCCUCUGUUCAGCUCCCUGCUGGACGCUCUCCAGGAGCCUCGGCUGGGGCUGUGCACACACAGCCUGUUAUCAUGUGACGUGGGACCCCCGCCUUCACCAGGUCCUUGAAGACUGCCAGCAGAGAACGAAGCAGCCGAAAAGCAGAAGUGACUCCCAGGGUCUGCUGAUGGAAAAAUGGACAAACACAAUGUGGUCUAUACCUACGGUGGAAUAGUAUUCAGCCUUGAAAAGGAAGGAAAUUCUGACACGUGCUACAGAUGGAUGAACCGGGAAGACGUGCUCGGUGAAAUUUAAGUAUACUAUGUAAACAUCACCCAUCUGCAGACCUACCCUUCGUAUGCAGAAACUAAGAGACAUCCCACUCAUGGUCAGAGACCCCCGGAGGCCUGGAGUGUGGUGCAGAGUGCACCUGGGUCCCGACAGGCCUGGGCUGGGCAUCGGGGUCCGCCUGGGCCCUCCUCUCAGUGGCUGGGGCCCCGGCCUGCGGCAGGCUGCUGUGCUGUGGCUGGUUGGGGUGCGUAAUGCCCAUCCCAUUGUCAGACUGAUGAUGACAGUGUCAUCAGCGCAAAUAGCAAUUACGGUAAUUGUCCUGUUCAGGCGUAACCAGACUCCAG
RNAcentral lists this long non-coding RNA (644 nucleotides) under Equus asinus (donkey). Its description in RNAcentral is "lncRNA (ENSEASG00005025375.1)". The record is from RNAcentral. Lineage: Eukaryota; Metazoa; Chordata; Mammalia; Perissodactyla; Equidae.